GAUGAACGCUGGCGGCGUGCCUAAUACAUGCAAGUCGAGCGAACAGACGAGGAGCUAGCUCCUCUGACGUUAGCGGCGGACGGGUGAGUAACACGUGGAUAACCUACCUAUAAGACUGGGAUAACUUCGGGAAACCGGAGCUAAUACCGGAUAAUAUAUUGAACCGCAUGGUUCAAUAGUGAAAGACGGUUUUGCUGUCACUUAUAGAUGGAUCCGCGCCGCAUUAGCUAGUUGGUAAGGUAACGGCUUACCAAGGCAACGAUGCGUAGCCGACCUGAGAGGGUGAUCGGCCACACUGGAACUGAGACACGGUCCAGACUCCUACGGGAGGCAGCAGUAGGGAAUCUUCCGAAAUGGGCGAAAGCCUGACGGAGCAACGCCGCGUGAGUGAUGAAGGUCUUCGGAUCGUAAAACUCUGUUAUUAGGGAAGAACAAAUGUGUAAGUAACUAUGCACGUCUUGACGGUACCUAAUCAGAAAGCCACGGCUAACUACGUG
Molecule: ribosomal RNA, 497 nt
Filed under: uncultured bacterium
Lineage: Bacteria
Description: partial 16S ribosomal RNA
Rfam family: Bacterial small subunit ribosomal RNA
Source: RNAcentral